CCAUGGUUUUGCUUUCCCAUCUCAGACACCUGUAGUGCCAUCUGUGGCCCCCCAAUAUUAAAUUGGACCAUGUGUGGAGGUGACACCUGUAAUCUCAGCACAUGGGCGCUGAGGUAGGCGAAUAUGGAAUCUAAGGCCAACUUGAGUUACAUAGGGAGACAUUUUCUGGAAACAAAAGUUCCAGAAGUAAAUAAUCAUGCAGUUUUAAAUUGUUCUUCCAAGUGGCAUGAAGAAACCUCCCAGUCUCACCCUGUGCCACCCCAGCCGUGAGUCACCUCUUUGUCUACCAUAUCCAUGCUGUAUAUACUACCCGCCUGUUGGUCACUUAGUAGUCAUCUGUUAUCAGCACGGAUGUUAUACACUAUUACAGUGCUCGCUUUACUUAAGAGGGCCCCAAAGCCAAAGAGCAUUGAUGGCUGGCAAUUCAGAUGCAUCAUGGGAAAGCUGGAAAGUGCUUCUAUUGAGGGCUGGAGAGAUGGCUCAGCAGGAAUGGUGGCAUUACUGGUACCAGAUCUGACUCCCAGCUGGGCAAAGUCUAUGAAACAACAUUGGACAGAUAUGAGACCAUAUGAACCAUGGGGCAGACCUUCAGGGGCAGCAGCAAACAAAGUAAGCUUUAUGAUCACCCUUGGAUGUCAGGACUGCUGUCUGGGAAUGGGGUGGGGGCUCAUGAAGAGUGUGCAAGUCCUGAACAAGAAGAUGGAGAUUUGAGUUCUGGGAGGCUGGUGAGGUAGAGUUUUUCAUGGGGAAGGAAAGUU
This 758-nucleotide long non-coding RNA is filed under the name Cricetulus griseus (Chinese hamster). RNAcentral's name for it is "lncRNA (ENSCGRG00000025870.1)". Lineage: Eukaryota; Metazoa; Chordata; Mammalia; Rodentia; Cricetidae. The record is from RNAcentral.